Long non-coding RNA from Oreochromis aureus, 529 nucleotides. The record is from Ensembl. NCBI's taxonomy places the organism in Eukaryota, Metazoa, Chordata, Actinopteri, Cichliformes, Cichlidae.
AUAAAGUUCCAUAUUGGGAUUAGUGUUUUGCUUAUUGUGCAGACAGCUCAUCCACAAAUUGUUAAUGAAGGAAAAUAUUGGGAUGGCACCACUGUAUUGAUUCCUCAGUAAUAUUCAAUGCGUCCUAUAUUUUAUGCAGAAAUUCAGAUUGAAGGAAGAAAAAUGGAAGGAACAUUGCCAAAAAAAGAAGGCGAGAUAUGUAACGGCACUCCACAAGCCAUCCCCUUUCAGGAGAUUGUCCAAGAAGAGCCACCAGGAUCAGGACUUUCAAUGACAAAUCAGGUGAGUUGAACACUACUUGAAGUUUGGAAAAUUGUGCAUCAGUGUUUGAGUAUAACUGUUGUUUUGGGUUUGUCCUUUGUUUGUUUUUUAAUAGAUACAAUGUGACACAUGUAAAAGGUGGUACCACGAACAGAGCCUUGACAUGAACAAUAAUGACUUUAUAAAAACAAAGGAAGAAGUAUGGAAGUGUGUCCUGUGCUUUUAAACUCAAUCAUGUAUGAAGUUUACGUCCUUAACUAUGAAGAUG